AUUGAACGCUGGCGGCAUGCCUUACACAUGCAAGUCGAACGGCAGCACGGGUGCUUGCACCUGGUGGCGAGUGGCGAACGGGUGAGUAAUACAUCGGAACAUGUCCUGUAGUGGGGGAUAGCCCGGCGAAAGCCGGAUUAAUACCGCAUACGAUCUACGGAUGAAAGCGGGGGACCUUCGGGCCUCGCGCUAUAGGGUUGGCCGAUGGCUGAUUAGCUAGUUGGUGGGGUAAAGGCCUACCAAGGCGACGAUCAGUAGCGGGUCUGAGAGGACGACCAGCCACACGGAGAGUGAGACACGGCCCAGACUCCUACGGGGGGCAGCAGUGGGGAAUGUUGGACAAUGGGCGAGAGCCUGAUCCAGCAAUGCCGCGUGUGUGAAGAAGGCCUUAGGGUUGUAAAGCACUUUUGUCCGGAAAGAAAUCCAUGGCCGUAAUACGGUCGGGGGAUGACGGUACCGGGAGAAUAAGCCCCGGCUAACUACGUG
Molecule: ribosomal RNA, 486 nt
Filed under: uncultured bacterium
Lineage: Bacteria
Description: partial 16S ribosomal RNA
Rfam family: Bacterial small subunit ribosomal RNA
Source: RNAcentral